UGAAACCAGAUAUGACUUAGUGGCGGACGGGUGAGUAACACGUGAGCAACCUGCCUUUCAGAGAGGGACAACAGUUGGAAACGGUCGCUAAUACCGCAUGACGUGUUCGGAUGGCAUCAUCUGAACAUCAAAGAUUUAUCGCUGAAAGAUGGGCUCGCGUCUGAUUAGAUAGUUGGUGGGGUAACGGCCUACCAAGUCUACGAUCAGUAGCCGGACUGAGAGGUUGAACGGCCACAUUGGGACUGAGAUACGGACCAAACUCC
Molecule: ribosomal RNA, 263 nt
Filed under: uncultured bacterium
Lineage: Bacteria
Description: partial 16S ribosomal RNA
Rfam family: Bacterial small subunit ribosomal RNA
Source: RNAcentral